Molecule: ribosomal RNA, 569 nt
Filed under: uncultured bacterium
Lineage: Bacteria
Description: bacterial SSU rRNA
Rfam family: Bacterial small subunit ribosomal RNA
Source: RNAcentral
CAGUCGACGGAGCUUAGAGAGCUUGCUUUUUAAGCUUAGUGGCGAACGGGUGAGUAACGCGUGAGUAACCUGCCCUAGAGUGGGGGGCAACAGUUGGAAACGACUGCUAAUACCGCAUAAGCCCACGGUGCCGCAUGACACUGAGGGAAAAGGAUUUAUUCGCUUUAGGAUGGACUCGCGUCCAAUUAGCUAGUUGGUGAGGUAACGGCCCACCAAGGCGACGAUUGGUAGCCGGACUGAGAGGUUGAACGGCCACAUUGGGACUGAGACACGGCCCAGACUCCUACGGGAGGCAGCAGUGGGGGAUAUUGCACAAUGGGGGAAACCCUGAUGCAGCGACGCCGCGUGGAGGAAGAAGGUUUUCGGAUUGUAAACUCCUGUCGUUAGGGACGAUAAUGACGGUACCUAACAAGAAAGCACCGGCUAACUACGUGCCAGCAGCCGCGGUAAAACGUAGGGUGCAAGCGUUGUCCGGAAUUACUGGGUGUAAAGGGAGCGCAGGCGGGAAGACAAGUUGGAAGUGAAAACCAUGGGCUCAACCCAUGAAUUGCUUUCAAAACUGUUUUUCU